CUCUCUCUAGCUGCGUUUACAUGGACACUAAUAAUCCGAUCGUAAUUGGACUAGAAGCACAAUCAGAUUUAAAAAGUCACAUGUAAACACGUCAAUCGGAAUGAAUUGGCCAAAACCGAUUAAAAUUUCAUUCGGAUCGUAAGGGGUGGUUUAAACCUUUUCUAAUCCGAUGGAGAGGACGUGUAAACACUUCAUCGGGUUGAAAAUGAAACCAGAUAGUUCUGCGCAUGUGCAAUGACGUACAAAUCACGUAAUGACGUAUGACGCACGGCUGUCAGCGGUACUGGGGCUCUGACCGUAGCCUCACCAGGUGCCAUGUUCCCCUCCACCAUGGAGCAUCGUGUCAUAAAUGACUGUCGUGUCAUCCUACAAUUCUCCUUCCACUCCUCGUCUGUGAAGUGGUGCAAGACGACGUUGUCCCACCGGUCCUUGCUUCGGACCCUCAUCCACAGACGGUUUGUUCUGGGCUCGGGAAGGGGCAUUUUAAUUGCUUGAUAAAUACACGCAGUAUAAUACACAACACAUCACGCGCUCGCGUCUUCUAAUUAGCAGCUGAAAUAGGCAAAUGUUAAGUCUGCUUUUUAAAAUGAAAAAAAAGCAAUGGCAAGAGAGUGGCUGCUAGUAUCUGCGUGUUGGAACGGAGGGAAACGUGUAAUCGUGCACUGUGCGCAUGUCAGAAGAUCAAAUCCGAUUCUGUCAAGUAAACGCGCACAUCAACCCGAUUACUUUAUUCAGCGUUCUUGUAAACACUGCGAUCGGAUUAAUCAAUCUGAUUGAUUUCAUUCCGAUUGAAACAAAAAGUGUCCAUGUAAAUGUGACUUGUCUCUCACUCUCUCUCUCUCACACACACACACACACACACACACACACUUCUCCCCGCCUCCUCACACACCCACGUCACAGGAUUAACCAAUCAGAGUGCACUAAAAAAAAAGCGCGAAUAAAUUGAAAGUAAAGAUGAUGUACUGCAGUAACUGUGUGUGUAACUCUGUGGGAUGAAGUUUCUGUUAAACUCCUAACCUGUUUACUUCUAUUUAAUCAUCUUCAUCAUCAUCUUCAUCCUCCUCCUCUCUGCAGUGUCCUUUACAAUGCGCCGUCGCAGAUCAGUCAAGUCUGACGUGAGCCGAAGUGAAGAUCCUGAACUUUCAGCACAAAAACAACAGAAGCAUCAAGAAGAACCUCAGAUGAACAUCAGACAAAGAAGAUCUCUGAUUAUUCCUCUUAAUUUCUCCUCACAAGUUGAGAGCAAGAACAUCAUGGGCAUGUAUCUCCAAACCAGCGCUGUGCAUCCAAACCCAUUAACAACAGCAAUUACAACGAGUGUGUGAGAGUUCAGCGGAGCAGAUUCACGACGUCCAAAUGCCUCUCUGUGUCUGACGCCAUGUUGCUCACACACACGCACACCCACACACACACACACACACCCAGUGUCAGCUCAUUAUAAUUAUAGAAAUGUGAUUAUUACCUGCUUCUGCACUUCUGUAAAAAUAAUCCUGAUUUGUGUUUUAAUCCACAAACGUUGAAAUGAUUCUUUCACUUAGAAUGUUUGAGUCUAAAUAACAUUAUACAAUAACACUAGAUUGUAAAUAUAGUAAAUUACACUAUAUAUAUAGUAUUUGUAUGUAGAAUCACUGCGAUUAUUUAUAUUGACUUUUGAAUACAGAAAUGAAUCAA
Pangasianodon hypophthalmus (striped catfish) is the source of this 1674-nucleotide RNA transcript. RefSeq lists it as uncharacterized. The record is from RefSeq and is a predicted model, not a curated record. NCBI's taxonomy places the organism in Eukaryota, Metazoa, Chordata, Actinopteri, Siluriformes, Pangasiidae. The transcript is spliced from 3 exons.